GGGGGUGUAAUGGAUUCGCUCGCUGGGGAAGUUUAGGAAUUGCAAGCCGAGGUGCCUUACCUCGUAAAACAGGGGCAACGCCAUAACUGGCAACAAGAACUACGCACUCGCUGCCGCUUAAGUAGCGACGUCCGACCUGCCUAAUCCCGGGUGGUAGAAUCGGGCGACACUAAACCGGGGUGCUGCCGCCCUAGCGCCUGGGAAGGGCGGCCUAAGACCAACAGGCUGGCUCAUGAUCACUUCGUCCGUGGAGGGAGAGUGAGCGAGAUCUAAAUCGCGGAAUAAGCUUGUAGUACAUUUCUGGCGGAACCGGUGAUACAGGGGUUCGACUCCCCUCACCUCCACCA
This 347-nucleotide transfer-messenger RNA is filed under the name Chloroflexota bacterium. It matches the Rfam family "transfer-messenger RNA". Rfam says of the family: Bacterial tmRNA, also known as 10Sa RNA or SsrA, is named for its dual tRNA and mRNA-like properties. Lineage: Bacteria; Bacillati; Chloroflexota. The record is from RNAcentral.